This 789-nucleotide ribosomal RNA is filed under the name uncultured Bacillota bacterium. Its description in RNAcentral is "bacterial SSU rRNA". It matches the Rfam family "Bacterial small subunit ribosomal RNA", at positions 74 to 867 of the family's 1533-position model. The record is from RNAcentral. Lineage: Bacteria; Bacillati; Bacillota.
AAGUAGCAAUACUUUAGUAAAGCGGCGCACGGGUGAGUAACACGUGGAUAACCUGCCUCGAAGUGGGGAAUAACCCCGGGAAACCGGAGCUAAUACCGCAUAAUCUGACGAGAUCUGUGGAUUUUGUCAGCAAAGGAGCAAUUCGCUUUGAGAGGGGUCCGCGGCUGAUUAGCUAGUUGGUGAGGUAAUGGCUCACCAAGGCCACGAUCAGUAGCCGGUCUGAGAGGACGGUCGGCCACACUGGAACUGAGACACGGUCCAGACUCCUACGGGAGGCAGCAGUGGGGAAUUUUUCGCAAUGGGGGCAACCCUGACGAAGCAACGCCGCGUGGGUGAUGAAGUAUUUCGGUACGUAAAACCCUUUCGACGGGGACGAAAGCCGCAAGGUUUGACGGUACCCGUAGAAGAAGCCCCGGCUAACUCCGUGCCAGCAGCCGCGGUAAUACGGGGGGGGCAAGCGUUGUUCGGAAUUACUGGGCGUAAAGGGCGCGUAGGCGGUUUGCUAAGUUGGAUGUGAAAACUCUGGGCUUAACCCAGAGCCUGCAUCCAAAACUGGCAAACUUGAGUACUGGAGGGGAAAGCGGAAUUCCUGGUGUAGCGGUGAAAUGCGUAGAUAUCAGGAGGAACACCGGUGGCGAAGGCGGCUUUCUGGACAGUAACUGACGCUGAGGCGCGAAAGCUAGGGGAGCAAACAGGAUUAGAUACCCUGGUAGUCCUAGCCCUAAACGAUGGAUACUUGGUGUGAGGGGGGAUUGAAUCCCUUCGUGCCGUAGCUAACGCAAUAAGUAU